UCUGCGAGUAAAGGCGGAGUGAGGAAAAAUCAAUUUAAGGAGUUUUAAGCGAACGAGGUUGAGCAGUGAUGACGGCGGGCGGUGUUGAGCAUAGACGAUGAAGAUCCUUCGAUAGAAUAGUACUUGGAUGCGUCGUGUCUCCAUACACGAUGUCAUCUGCUCUUGACUCUUCCGCUGCAAUGUAAAAGUCGAGAUUUCAUUC
This is a non-coding RNA of Salvia hispanica, 202 nucleotides long. Lineage: Eukaryota; Viridiplantae; Streptophyta; Magnoliopsida; Lamiales; Lamiaceae. The record is from RefSeq and is a predicted model, not a curated record.